CUAUACUCUGUUUCGCAU
This 18-nucleotide unclassified non-coding RNA is filed under the name Mus musculus (house mouse). RNAcentral describes it as "oocyte_clustered_small_RNA13971". The record is from RNAcentral. Lineage: Eukaryota; Metazoa; Chordata; Mammalia; Rodentia; Muridae.